Molecule: ribosomal RNA, 506 nt
Filed under: uncultured bacterium
Lineage: Bacteria
Description: SSU rRNA
Rfam family: Bacterial small subunit ribosomal RNA
Source: RNAcentral
AGGACGAACGCUGGCGGCGCGCUUAACACAUGCAAGUCGAGCGAGAACCCAGGCUUCGGCCUGGGGGAAAGCGGCGAACGGGUGAGUAACGCGUGGGUAAUCUGCCCUCGACAUCGGGAUAGCCCGGGGAAACCCGGAUUAAUACCGAAUAGCCCAACAGCUUUUCGGAGCGGUUGGAAAAGGUAGCUUUGGCCUCCGGUCGAGGAGGAGCUCGCGGCGGAUUAGCUUGUUGGUGAGGUAACGGCUCACCAAGGCGUCGAUCCGUAGCUGGUCUGAGAGGACGAUCAGCCACACUGGGACUGAGACACGGCCCAGACUCCUACGGGAGGCAGCAGUGGGGAAUCUUGCGCAAUGGGCGAAAGCCUGACGCAGCGACGCCGCGUGAGGGAAGAAGGCCUUCGGGUUGUAAACCUCUUUCAGGAGGGACGAAGCCACUCGGGUUAAUAGCCCAGAGGGUGACGGUACCUCCGAGAAGAAGCCCCGGCUAACUACGUGCCAGCAGCCGC